UACUCACCGGCAGGCUUAACACAUGCAAGUCGAGGGGUAACGGGGUGCUUGCACCGCCGACGACCGGCGCACGGGUGAGUAACGCGUAUACAAUCUGCCUUGUACUGAGGGAUAGCCCAGAGAAAUUUGGAUUAAUACCUCAUAGUAUAUGGACCUCUCAUGAGGAUCAUAUUAAAGGUUACGGUACAAGAUGAGUAUGCGUUCUAUUAGCUAGAUGGUAAGGUAACGGCUUACCAUGGCUACGAUAGAUAGGGGCCCUGAGAGGGGGAUCCCCCACACUGGUACUGAGACACGGACCAGACUCCUACGGGAGGCAGCAGUGAGGAAUAUUGGACAAUGGGCGAGAGCCUGAUCCAGCCAUGCCGCGUGCAGGAUGACGGCCCUAUGGGUUGUAAACUGCUUUUAUACAGGAAGAAACACCCCGACGUGUCGGGACUUGACGGUACUGUAAGAAUAAGGAUCGGCUAACUCCGUGCCAGCAGCCGCGGUAAUACGGAGGAUCCAAGCGUUAUCCGGAAUCAUUGGGUUUAAAGGGUCCGUAGGUGGACAAUUAAGUCAGAGGUGAAAUCCUGCAGCUCAACUGUAGAAUUGCCUUUGAUACUGGUUGUCUUGAGUUAUUAUGAAGUAGUUAGAAUAUGUAGUGUAGCGGUGAAAUGCAUAGAUAUUACAUAGAAUACCAUUGGCGAAGGCAGAUUACUAUUAAUGAACUGACACUGAUGGACGAAAGCGUGGGGAGCGAACAGGAUUAGAUACCCUGGUAGUUCACGCCGUAACCGAAUGGUACUAGNUGG
This 791-nucleotide ribosomal RNA is filed under the name Bizionia sp. D58-B07. Its description in RNAcentral is "bacterial SSU rRNA". It matches the Rfam family "Bacterial small subunit ribosomal RNA", at positions 34 to 823 of the family's 1533-position model. The record is from RNAcentral. Lineage: Bacteria; Pseudomonadati; Bacteroidota; Flavobacteriia; Flavobacteriales; Flavobacteriaceae.